CUCAUCUCUGAAAAUCAGAGCGCCUUCAUCCCGGGGAAGUUGAUCUCUGAUAACUCUAUAAUUGCGUUUGAAUGUAUUCACCACAUCCAGUCGGUAAGAAACAAUACAAAUGGUCUUUGUGCUUACAAACUUGAUCUCUCCAAGGCCUAUGACAGGGUGGAUUGGGUGUUCUUGGAAAAGGCCUUGGCCAAAUGGGGCUUCUUGCCUUCCUGGAUUGCUCGGGUUAUGGCAUGUGUUUCAUCGGUGAAAUACUCGGUAAAAUUUAAUGGGAAACUGCUGGAGUCCUUCUCUCCGUCGAGGGGUCUCCGUCAAGGUGAUCCACUGUCUCCCUUCCUC
Molecule: ribosomal RNA, 336 nt
Filed under: Triticum aestivum (bread wheat)
Lineage: Eukaryota; Viridiplantae; Streptophyta; Magnoliopsida; Poales; Poaceae
Description: partial small subunit ribosomal RNA
Source: RNAcentral